RNAcentral lists this ribosomal RNA (256 nucleotides) under uncultured bacterium. Its description in RNAcentral is "partial 16S ribosomal RNA". It matches the Rfam family "Bacterial small subunit ribosomal RNA", at positions 521 to 776 of the family's 1533-position model. The record is from RNAcentral.
UAAUACGUAGGGUGCGAGCGUUGUCCGGAAUUAUUGGGCGUAAAGAGCUUGUAGGCGGUUUGUCGCGUCUGCGGUGAAAACCCGGGGCUUAACCUUGGGCGUGCCGUGGGUACGGGCAGGCUAGAGUGUGGUAGGGGAGACUGGAAUUCCUGGUGUAGCGGUGAAAUGCGCAGAUAUCAGGAGGAACACCGAUGGCGAAGGCAGGUCUCUGGGCCAUAACUGACGCUGAGAAGCGAAAGCAUGGGGAGCGAACAGG